RNAcentral lists this ribosomal RNA (182 nucleotides) under Escherichia coli. RNAcentral's name for it is "partial 16S ribosomal RNA". It matches the Rfam family "Bacterial small subunit ribosomal RNA", at positions 1 to 176 of the family's 1533-position model. Lineage: Bacteria; Pseudomonadati; Pseudomonadota; Gammaproteobacteria; Enterobacterales; Enterobacteriaceae. The record is from RNAcentral.
AAAUUGAAGGGUUUGAUCAUGGCUCAGAUUGAACGCUGGCGGCAGGCCUAACACAUGCAAGUCGAACGGUAACAGGAAGAAGCUUGCUUCUUUGCUGACGAGUGGCGGACGGGUGAGUAAUGUCUGGGAAACUGCCUGAUGGAGGGGGAUAACUACUGGAAACGGUAGCUAAUACCGCAUAA